Molecule: non-coding RNA, 200 nt
Organism: Oncorhynchus mykiss (rainbow trout)
Lineage: Eukaryota; Metazoa; Chordata; Actinopteri; Salmoniformes; Salmonidae
Source: RefSeq, a predicted model, not a curated record
CAGAGGUGUCUGUUUAAACUACUGGCACACAGCUCAGUCCUCCAUGCAAACCCAACAAGACAUGUUACCAGAGGUGUCUGUUUUAACUACUGACACACAGCUCAGUCCUCCAUGCAAACCCAACAAGACAUGUUACCAGAGGUGUCUGUUUAAACUACUGGCACACAGCUCAGUCCUCCAUGCAAACCCAUCAAGACAUG